RNAcentral lists this ribosomal RNA (253 nucleotides) under uncultured bacterium. RNAcentral's name for it is "partial 16S ribosomal RNA". It matches the Rfam family "Bacterial small subunit ribosomal RNA", at positions 524 to 776 of the family's 1533-position model. The record is from RNAcentral.
UACGGGGGGGGUAAGCGUUGUUCGGAAUUACUGGGCGUAAAGGGCUCGUAGGCGGCCAACUAAGUCAAACGUGAAAUCCCUCAGCUUAACUGGGGAACUGCGUCUGAUACUGGAUGGCUUGGAUUCGGGAGAGGAAUGCGGAAUUCCAGGUGUAGCGGUGAAAUGCGUAGAUAUCUGGAGGAACACCGGUGGCGAAGGCGGCAUUCUGGACCGAUAUUGACGCUGAGGAGCGAAAGCCAGGGGAGCAAACGGG